RNAcentral lists this ribosomal RNA (2341 nucleotides) under Hafnia alvei. RNAcentral describes it as "bacterial LSU rRNA". It matches the Rfam family "Bacterial large subunit ribosomal RNA", at positions 1 to 2369 of the family's 2925-position model. The record is from RNAcentral. Lineage: Bacteria; Pseudomonadati; Pseudomonadota; Gammaproteobacteria; Enterobacterales; Hafniaceae.
UUAAGUGACUAAGCGUACACGGUGGAUGCCUAGGCAGUCAGAGGCGAUGAAGGACGUGCUAAUCUGCGAUAAGCGUCGGUAAGCUGAUAUGAAGCGUUAUAACCGACGAUUUCCGAAUGGGGAAACCCAGUGCAAUUCGUUGCACUAUCGUUAAGUGAAUACAUAGCUUAACGAAGCGAACCAGGGGAACUGAAACAUCUAAGUACCCUGAGGAAAAGAAAUCAACCGAGAUUCCCCUAGUAGCGGCGAGCGAACGGGGAGCAGCCCAGAACCUUAAUCAGCGUAUGUGUCAGAGGAACGGUCUGGAAAGUCCGGCGAUACAGGGUGAUAGCCCCGUACUUGAAAAUGCAUAUGUUGUGAGUUCGAUGAGUAGGGCGGGACACGUGACAUCCUGUCUGAAUAUGGGGGGACCAUCCUCCAAGGCUAAAUACUCCUGACUGACCGAUAGUGAACCAGUACCGUGAGGGAAAGGCGAAAAGAACCCCGGCGAGGGGAGUGAAAUAGAACCUGAAACCGUGUACGUACAAGCAGUGGGAGCCUCUUUUAUGGGGUGACUGCGUACCUUUUGUAUAAUGGGUCAGCGACUUAUAUUUUGUAGCAAGGUUAACCGAAUAGGGGAGCCGUAGGGAAACCGAGUCUUAACUGGGCGUCAAGUUGCAAGGUAUAGACCCGAAACCCGGUGAUCUAGCCAUGGGCAGGUUGAAGGUGGGUAACACUAACUGGAGGACCGAACCGACUAAUGUUGAAAAAUUAGCGGAUGACUUGUGGCUGGGGGUGAAAGGCCAAUCAAACCGGGAGAUAGCUGGUUCUCCCCGAAAGCUAUUUAGGUAGCGCCUCGUGAACUCAUCUUCGGGGGUAGAGCACUGUUUCGACUAGGGGGUCAUCCCGACUUACCAACUCGAUGCAAACUACGAAUACCGAAGAAUGUUAUCACGGGAGACACACGGCGGGUGCUAACGUCCGUCGUGAAGAGGGAAACAACCCAGACCGCCAGCUAAGGUCCCAAAGUCAUAGUUAAGUGGGAAACGAUGUGGGAAGGCAUAGACAGCCAGGAUGUUGGCUUAGAAGCAGCCAUCAUUUAAAGAAAGCGUAAUAGCUCACUGGUCGAGUCGGCCUGCGCGGAAGAUGUAACGGGGCUAAACUAUGCACCGAAGCUGCGGCAGCGACACAUUGUGUUGUUGGGUAGGGGAGCGUUCUGUAAGCCGUUGAAGGUGGCUCGUGAGGGUUGCUGGAGGUAUCAGAAGUGCGAAUGCUGACAUAAGUAACGAUAAAGCGGGUGAAAAACCCGCUCGCCGGAAGACCAAGGGUUCCUGUCCAACGUUAAUCGGGGCAGGGUGAGUCGACCCCUAAGGCGAGGCCGAAAGGCGUAGUCGAUGGGAAACAGGUUAAUAUUCCUGUACUCCGGUGUUACUGCGAAGGGGGGACGGAGAAGGCUAGGCUAUCCGGGCGACGGUUGUCCCCGGUUUAAGCGUGUAGGGGGAAAGCGUUGGUAAAUCCGUGCUUUUAUUAACCCUGAGGCGUGAUGACGAGUCACUACGGUGAUGAAGUAGUUGAUGCCAAGCUUCCAGGAAAAGCCUCUAAGCUCUAGGUAACAUUGAAUCGUACCCCAAACCGACACAGGUGGUCAGGUAGAGAAUACCAAGGCGCUUGAGAGAACUCGGUGAAGGAACUAGGCAAAAUGGUGCCGUAACUUCGGGAGAAGGCACGCUGGCGCGUAGGUGAAGUCCCUUGCGGAUGGAGCUGAAGCCAGUCGAAGAUACCAGCUGGCUGCAACUGUUUAAUAAAAACACAGCACUGUGCAAACACGAAAGUGGACGUAUACGGUGUGACGCCUGCCCGGUGCUGGAAGGUUAAUUGAUGGGGUCAGCCGCAAGGCGAAGCUCUUGAUCGAAGCCCCAGUAAACGGCGGCCGUAACUAUAACGGUCCUAAGGUAGCGAAAUUCCUUGUCGGGUAAGUUCCGACCUGCACGAAUGGCGUAAUGAUGGCCAGGCUGUCUCCACCCGAGACUCAGUGAAAUUGAACUCGCUGUGAAGAUGCAGUGUACCCGCGGCAAGACGGAAAGACCCCGUGAACCUUUACUAUAGCUUGACACUGAACAUUGAGCCUUGAUGUGUAGGAUAGGUGGGAGGCUUUGAAGCGUGGACGCCAGUCUGGAGCCAACCUUGAAAUACCACCCUUUAAUGUUUGAUGUUCUAACUCCGGUCCCUAAUCGGGAUUGAGGACAGUGUCUGGUGGGUAGUUUGACUGGGGCGGUCUCCUCCUAAAGAGUAACGGAGGAGCACGAAGGUUAGCUAAUCACGGUCGGACAUCGUGAGGUUAGUGCAAUGGCAUAAGCUAGCU